RNAcentral lists this small nucleolar RNA (107 nucleotides) under Gossypium hirsutum (cotton). RNAcentral describes it as "Plant small nucleolar RNA R71". It matches the Rfam family "Plant small nucleolar RNA R71". Rfam says of the family: R71 is a member of the C/D box family of snoRNAs containing the C (UGAUGA) and D (CUGA) box motifs. Multiple nearly identical copies of this snoRNA have been identified in Arabidopsis, and it is thought to function as a 2'-O-ribose methylation guide for 18S ribosomal RNA. The record is from Rfam by way of RNAcentral. Lineage: Eukaryota; Viridiplantae; Streptophyta; Magnoliopsida; Malvales; Malvaceae.
AUCCCAUGAUGAGGACACUUACGAAGUAACUCCUUGAGUCGCUCCCAAGCCUCAUACAAAGACUCGUCAUCCAAUUGUUAGAAAGUUGUGAUCGCGUUCCUCAACUU